Molecule: ribosomal RNA, 166 nt
Filed under: Carex maritima
Lineage: Eukaryota; Viridiplantae; Streptophyta; Magnoliopsida; Poales; Cyperaceae
Description: 5.8S ribosomal RNA
Source: RNAcentral
UCGCUUUUCGGGCGCGUUGGUCAGUGGCCGGAAUACGGCGCGGGAUGACGCCAAGGAACACGAUAAAGCUAAGGCACCGGUGAGCCGCUCGAGGGCUUGCGUCGGGUGCUGAGGCCAAUGAAAAAAAAUAUGACUCUCGGCAACGGAUAUCUCGGCUCUCGCAUCG